UACGUAGGUGGCAAGCGUUGUCCGGAUUUAUUGGGUUUAAAGGGUGCGUAGGUGGUCUAUUAAGUCAGUGCUGAAAUAUCCCGGCUUAACCGGGAGGGUGGCAUUGAUACUGAUGGACUUGAGUAAAGUUGAGGUAGGCGGAAUUGACGGUGUAGCGGUGAAAUGCUUAGAUAUCGUCAAGAACACCUAUUGCGAAGGCAGCUUACUAAGCUUUAACUGACACUGAUGCACGAAAGUGUGGGAUCAAACAGG
RNAcentral lists this ribosomal RNA (252 nucleotides) under uncultured bacterium. Its description in RNAcentral is "partial 16S ribosomal RNA". It matches the Rfam family "Bacterial small subunit ribosomal RNA", at positions 524 to 776 of the family's 1533-position model. The record is from RNAcentral.